This 6302-nucleotide long non-coding RNA is filed under the name Homo sapiens (human). Its description in RNAcentral is "non-protein coding JPX:25". The record is from RNAcentral. Lineage: Eukaryota; Metazoa; Chordata; Mammalia; Primates; Hominidae.
GCUGAAAUCUUAACACCGAAGAGUUGAAGGCUUUUUCUCUAAGAUCAGGAACAAGACAUGGAUGCCAUUUUUUCUCCUUCUGUUCAGUGUUGUACUGGAAGUCAUAGCAAGAGCAUUUAGGCAAGAGAAAUAAAAGACAUCUAAGUAGGAAAAGAAGAAAAAACUUGCCUCUCCUGAUUAUCUUAUCUUAUAGCUAGAAAACCUUAAAGACUCCAUUAAAAAAAAAAAAACUAUAGAACUAAUAAAAUGAAUUCCAUAAAAAGUGCUACGUACAAAAUUGACAAUUAAGUCUGUAGCAUUUCUAUACACUAACAAACAACAAUCUAUCCAAAAAAGUAAUCAGGAAACUAAUCACAUUUACACUAUUUACUAAGUAAACAAACUUAUGAAUGAAUUUAACCAAGUAGGUUAAAGAUCUGUAUAGUGAAAACAUUGAUGAAACGAAUUGAAGAUUACAAAAAUAGAAAUUUUUCUUUGUACAUGGAUUGGGAAAUUUAUAUUGUUAUAAUUUUCAUACUGCCAAAAGAAACAUACAGAUUCUGUGUAAUCAAUAUUUCAAUGUCCUUUUUAUUUUUAUUUUUUUUACAGAAAUACAAAAAAAAUUCUAAAACUUGUAUGGAACUACAAAAGACAUUAAAUAAUCAAAGUAAUCUUGAGCAACAAGGACACAGCUGGAGGCAUCACUCUACCUGAUUUUGUAAUCCAUUAUCAAAAAACUGUGGUACCAGCAUAAAAACAGAUUCACUGACCAGUGGAACAGGAAAGCCCAGACAUAACUCAUACAUUUCCAUCCAAUUGAUUUUUGACAAAAGUGGCACACAGAAUGGGGAGAGGACAAAUAAAUAAAUAAAUUGUUUUGAGAUAUCUGUAUAUCUAUAUGUGAAAUUGAACCAUUUUCUCAUAGCAUAUAGAAAAAUCAACUCAAAAUGGAUUAAAGCCUGAAAUGUUGCCUUUGAAACUGUAAAACUACUAGUAGAAAAUAUAGGGGAAAAGCUCUAUGAUGUUGUUCUGGGCAAUGAUUUCUUGGAUACAUCCUUAAAAGCAUGGGCAGCAAAAACAGCCAGACAACUAUCAGGGAACCUGCCCAGAUAGUCACAUAGGUUCUUUUCUAUUUUCCCUAAGCAUUGGCCGGGUUGAGAAAUAAAGGGACAGAGUACAAAAGAGAGAAAUUUUAAAGCUGGGCAUCCUGGGGAGACAUCACAUGUCGGUAGGUUCCGUGAUGCCCCCUGAGCCGUAAAACCAGUAAGUUUUUAUUAGGGAUUUUCAAAGGGGAGGGAGUAUACGAAUAGGAGGUGGGUCACAGAGAUCACGUGCUUCACAAGGUAAUAGAAUAUCACAAGGCAAAUGGAGGCAGGGCGAGAUCACAGGACCACAGGACUGGGUUGAAAUUAAAAUUGCUAAUGAAGUUUCGGGCACCAUCGUCAUUGAUAACAUCUUAUCAGGAGACAGGGUUUGAGAGCAACCUGUCUGACCAAAAUUUAUUAGGUGGGAAUUUCCUCGUCCUAAUAAGCCUGGGAGCGCUAUGGGAGACUGGGGCUUAUUUCAUCCCUACAGUCUCGACCAUAGAAGACAGCUACACCCAAGGGGGCCAUUUUAGAGGCCCACCCUCAGGGGCACAUUCUCUUUCUCAGGGAUGUUCCUUGCUGAGAAAAAGAAUUCGGCGAUAUUUCUCCCAUUUGCUUUUGAAAGAAGAGAAAUAUGGCUCUGUUCCGCCUGGCUCACCGGCGGUCAGAGUUUAAGGUUAUCUCUCUUAUUCCCUGAACAUUGCUGUUAUCCUGUUCUUUUUUCAAGGUGCCUAGAUUUCAUAUUGUUUAAACACACAUGCUCUACAAUUUCUGCACUUAACACAAUUAUCACAGGGUCCUGAGGCGACAUACGUCCUCCUCGGCUUACGAGAUGACAGGAUUAAGAGAUUAAAACAGGCAUAGGAAAUCACAAGGGUAUUGAUUGGGGAAGUGAUAAGUGUCCAUGAAAUCUUCACAAUUUAUGUUUAGAGAUUGCAGUAAAGACAGGCAUAAGAAAUUAUAAAAGUAUUAAUUUGGGGAACUAAUAAAUGUCCAUGAAAUCUUCACGAUCCACGUUCUUCCGCCAUGGCUUCAGCCAGUCCCUCCGUUUGGGGUCCCUGACUUCCCGCAACAGACAACUUGAGUUGCAUCAAACUAAAAAGCAUCUGCACUGCAAAGGGUACAGUUAACAGAAUGAAGACACGGGUUUUGAGAAACCAUUUUCAAAUCAUAUAUCUGAUAAGGGGCUAAUAUCCAAAAUGUAUUAAGAAACCCAAGCCCAAUAGCAAGAAAACAACUGUCUUUAAAAGGGGGAAAAGGACCUCAACUUAAAUUUUUCAGAGGAAGACAUGAGUGGCCAAUUGAUUGAUACAUGAAAAAAAUGCUCAACAUCUCUAAUCAUUAGUGAGUUGCAAAUCAAAACUGCAAGAUAUUACCUUACACCUUUUAGAAUGGCUAUUAUUAAAAGGAUGAAAGACAGGUGCUGGCAAGGAUGUGGAUAAAAGGAAGUCCCAACAUUCUGUUAGUGGGAAUAUAAAUUAGUAUAGCCAAUUUAGGAAACUAUAUGGUGGUUCCUUAAGAAACUAAAAGUACAAUUACUAUAUGAUCUAGCAAUCUCUACUUAGGUAUAUAUCCAAAGGAAUUGAAGCAGUAUGUUGAGAUCUUGCACUCCCUUAUUUUGAAAUUAUUUACAAAGCUAAUAAAUGGAAAAGACUUAAGUUUUCAUAACAGAUGAAUGGACAUAGAAGAUGUGUUGUAUAUACAUAUUGGAAUAUUUUUUAUCCUUGGAAAAGAAGGAAAAUUGUCAUUUGUGACAACAUGGAUGAAUCUGUAGUAUACUAUGCUAAGUGUUGUAAGACAGGCACAGAGAGGCAAAUACUACAUUAUAUUUGUAUGUGGAAUCUAAGAAAGGCUAACUCAUACAAGUAGAAAGUUGGAUGUUAUGGUUUCCAGGAUGUGGGUGUUGGAGAGAUGGGCAAAGGCAAGACGUUGGUCAAAGAGUACCAAUUUUCUGUUAGGAGGAAUAAGUUUUAGACAUAUUUCACAGCAUGGUGACCAUUGUCACUGACUGUAUAUUUUAAAAUUGUUAUAAGUAGAUAUUAAAGUUGUCACAACAAAAGUAGGUGAAGUUAUGGAUAUGUUAAUGUGCUUGAUUUAGUUAUUACACUAUGUAUACAUACAAAAACAUCAGAUAGUUCCCUGGAAUUAUAUACAAUUAUUACUUGUCAAUUAUAAAAAAAAGCCCUACUGCAACCACUAAAAAGGAUUUUCAUAUAAUAGAGGGAAAAAUCGUUAAAGAUAAUAAUACAUUAUUUUAGAAAAUAUUAACUUAUAAAAAGUAGUAUAGGAGGGAUUCUGUAAAAGAAGAUAGACAUAGAAUUUUAAAAUGUAUAAUGGAAAAUUUAAAUCCAGCUGUACUGAUGGAUCAAGCAAUCCAAACCAGUCUGAUUGACCAAGUGGAUAUUUAAAAAACAAUCAAACUAUAAGGUGUCUGUUGUAGGCAGUUUAUAAAAUACAAAAGUGUUGAAAGAAAUAGGAUGGAAAUAGAAAUAUCCAAGUAGCAACCACAAAAAAACUGGAAUGUCUGCACUAACAUCAUACAAAACAAACCAAAUGAAGGUUAAAAAUAUUGAAAUUAUACAAAAUAUGUUCUAUGACUAAAAUUUAAUGAAAUUAGAAAUAACACAGAGAUAGGAACUAUACAUAUUUGUGCAAAUUUAAAAAGUUAUGCUGAGUGUGGUGGCUCACACCUGUAAUCCCAGCACUUUGGGAGGCCGGGGAGGGUGGAUCACUUGAAGUCAGGAGUUGGAGACCAGCCUGGCCAACAUGGUGAAACCCUGUCUCUACUAAAAAUACAGAAAAUUAGCCAGAUGUGGUGGUGUGCGCCUGUAGUCCCAGCUACUCGGGUGGCUGAGGCACUAGAAUCACUUGAGCCUAGGAGGCAGAGGUGGCAGUGAGCCGAGAUCACACCACUGCACUGCAGCCUGGGCGACAAAGACUGUCAAAAAAAAAAAAAAAAAAAAAAAGUUACGUAACCAACAAGUCAAAGGAGAAUUUAUAAGGAAAUCAGAAAAUACUUUGAGGUGAAUGAAAAUACAGAAACAACAUAUCAAAUUCUGUGAGAUGUGUGAAAGCAACGCUUACAGUGAAAUUAAUAGCUAUGAACAUUGUAAUGAAAUGAGAAGUACUUCAAAUUACUAACCUAACUUUCCAACUUUAGAAAAUACAGUAAAAAAAGAACAAAUUAAAAUCAAAGCAGAAAGGAUAUAAAGUUUAGUGUGGAAAUAGAGAAUUAAAAAUAAUUGAGAAACACAGCACUUCGUUGACUUAUUCAUAAAAUAAAGCUUUAUUAAAAUGAGAAAUGUAAAACGUGAUGUUCCUAAUGACCUUAUUCCAUACAAGGGAUUAGUAUUUUGACAAAUAUCUUUGUGGAAGUAGACAAAUUCCUAGAAAGACACUGACUACCACAACUCAUUCAAGAACAAAGUGAAGACAAUAAAUUGGUAAUUUAAAAACUCUCACCCCUGCCCCUGACACACAUGUAAAUUCCCAGUUCAAAUGUAUUCUUUUGUAUAUUAUACCAAACACAUGAAAAUUACCAAUUCGAUAAAAAUGUCUUAAAAACUUGGAAGAGCAUGUAAUAUUUUUUACUGGUUCUAUGAUGCUAUUGUUAUCUAGAUACCAAAGUGAAACAUCAUACACAGGGAAAACUCUGAUAAUAUCGCUUAUGAGUGGAUCUGUGAAAUUUCCUAGUAAAUUUUGGCAAACCAAAUACAGUAACAUAUAAACAGGAAUGUACACCAGUACCCAGUACAGUGUAUCCCUGGAAUGCAACGUUAUUUCAUCAGCUGGAAAUGAUUAGUGCAACAGACUGAAGGAAGAAAACAACAUGGUCAUCUCAAUAGAUUGUGGACGGCUGGAAGUGGAGGCUCACGCCUGUAAUCCUAAUACUCCUACCAACAGUGUAUAAGCAUUCCUUUUUCUCUGUAACUUCACCAGAAUCUGUUUUUUUGUUUGUUUGUUUGUUUGUUUUUGACUUUGUAAUAGCCAUGGGCUGGGCUCAGUGACUCACGCCUGUAAUCCUAGCACUGGGGGAGGCUGAGGUGGGCGGAUCACUUGAGGUCAGGAGUUCGAGACCAGCCUGGCCAACAUGGUGAAACCCCAUCUCUACUAAAAAUACUAAAAUUACCUGUGCAUGGUGGCAAGUGCCUGUAAUCCCAGCUACUCGGGAGUCUGAGGCAGUAGAAUCACUUGAACCCAGGAGGUGGAGGUUGCAGUGAGCGGAGAUUGUGCCACUGCACUUGGACCUGGCUGACACAGCAAGACUAUGUUUAAAAAAAAAGAGAGAGAAAAAAAAAAUAGAAGGUGGAAAAAGUAUUUGGUAAACUAAGAAGUAAACCACAACCUAGUAAAGGGCAUAUUUUAAGAAUUCACAACUAGAACCUGGUGCCGUGGCUGUAAUCCCAGCACUUGGGGAAGCCAAAGCAGGAUUACUUGAGGCCAGAAGUCUGAGAUCAGCCUAGGCAAUAUAAGGAUACUCUGUAUCUUAAAAAAAAAAAAAAAAUCCAGAUGUGAUGACACAUGCCUGUACGCCUAGCUACUUGGGAAGCUGAGGUUCAUGUUUACAAUGAGCUAUGAUGAUGCCACUGUACUCCUGACUGAACAACAGAGUGAGACCCUGUCUCUAAAAAGCAAAACAAAACAGAAAACCCAAAACCCUCAAAACUAAUGUUACACUUAGUAUUUAAAGAAUGCUUUCUCUGUAAGAAGAGGAGCAAGGACAGGAUAAAACAUUCUUGCCAGUUCUGUUCAACAGUGUACUGGAAGUAUCUGUGACAUUAAUUGCAUUGCAUAUGGAAGGAAAUAAAAUUUUUUAAAUAGGAAGCAGCAAAACCUUUUGCAGAUGACAUGGUUUUGUACAUACACAACCCCAGUGGAUCCAAUAAAUUUGGAUUCCAAUAACAAGAUCAUCUCAGCAAGUUUUUGUGAUUUAAGAUUACAAUCCAAAAAUCAGUUGUAUUUCUAUAUAUUAUUAAAGAAGUCAAAAGUGACAUCAUUGAAACAUUUUUAUUUACAAUAUUAUUAAGGCAAAAUACUGUGGGAUAAAGUGAAAUUCAGCAUGAACUGUGAAUAACACAAAAUAUUUGUCAGAGGAGUUGAGGAAUAUCUACAUAUGUGGAAAGACAUCUCAUAUUUGUGGACUAGAAGAUUUAAGCAUCGCUAGGUGCGGUGGCUCACGCCUGUAAUCCCAGCACUUUGGUAGGCUGAGGUGGGCGGAUCACAAGGUCGGGAGUUCGA